Molecule: ribosomal RNA, 448 nt
Filed under: uncultured bacterium
Lineage: Bacteria
Description: bacterial SSU rRNA
Rfam family: Bacterial small subunit ribosomal RNA
Source: RNAcentral
GGCCAGACUCCUACGGGAGGCAGCAGUGGGGAAUAUUGGGCAAUGGACGCAAGUCUGACCCAGCAACGCCGCGUGAAGGAAGAAGGCUUUCGGGUUGUAAACUUCUUUUAAGGGGGAAGAGUAGAAGACGGUACCCCUUGAAUAAGCCACGGCUAACUACGUGCCAGCAGCCGCGGUAAUACGUAGGUGGCAAGCGUUAUCCGGAUUUACUGGGUGUAAAGGGAGCGUAGACGGAAUUGCAAGUCUGAUGUGAAAAUCCGGGGCCCAACCCCGGAACUGCAUUGGAAACUGUAUUUCUAGAGUGUCGGAGAGGCAAGUGGAAUUCCUGGUGUAGCGGUGAAAUGCGUAGAUAUCAGGAGGAACACCAGUGGCGAAGGCGGCUUGCUGGACGAUGACUGACGUUGAGGCUCGAAAGCGUGGGGAGCAAACAGGAUUAGAUCCCCCGGUA